CAUCAUGGCAGUGAAACUGAAAGGCUUGAGUAUGGUAGGGGCAGAGGGAAUUCCCGGUGUAGCGGUGAAAUGCGUAGAUAUCGGGAAGAACACCAGUGGCGAAGGCGCUCUGCUGGGCCAUUACUGACGCUCAUGGACGAAAGCCAGGGGAGCGAAAGGGAUUAGAUACCCCUGUAGUCCUGGCCGUAAACGAUGAACACUAGGUGUCGGGGGAAUCGACCCCUUCGGUGUCGUAGCUAACGCGUUAAGUGUUCCGCCUGGGGAGUACGCACGCAAGUGUGAAACUCAAAGGAAUUGACGGGGGCCCGCACAAGCGGUGGAGUAUGUGGUUUAAUUCGAUGCAACGCGAAGAACCUUACCAGGGUUUGACAUCCUGCGAACCUCUUAGAAAUUUGAGGGUGCCUUCGGGAAUGCAGUGACAGGUGGUGCAUGGCUGUCGUCAGCUCGUGUCGUGAGAUGUUGGGUUAAGUCCCGCAACGAGCGCAACCCACGUUUUUAGUUGCCAGCAUUUAGUUGGGCACUCUAGAAAGACCGCCGGUGAUAAACCGGAGGAAGGUGUGGAUGACGUCAAGUCAUCAUGCCCCUUACACCCUGGGCUACACACGUACUACAAUGCUACGGACAAAGGGCAGCAAACUCGCGAGAGCUAGCAAAUCCCAUAAACCGUGGCUCAGUUCAGAUCGUAGGCUGCAACUCGCCUACGUGAAGUAGGAAUCGCUAGUAAUCGCAGGUCAGCAUACUGCGGUGAAUACGUUCCCGGGCCUUGUACACACCGCCCGUCACACCAUGGAAGUUGGCCAUGCCCGAAGUCGUUACUCCAACCCUUGUGGAGGAGGACGCCGAAGGUGGGGCUAAUGACUGGGGUGAAGUCGUAACAAGGUAACCGUA
Molecule: ribosomal RNA, 888 nt
Filed under: uncultured bacterium
Lineage: Bacteria
Description: bacterial SSU rRNA
Rfam family: Bacterial small subunit ribosomal RNA
Source: RNAcentral